This is a non-coding RNA of Podarcis lilfordi (Lilford's wall lizard), 69 nucleotides long. The record is from the annotation of a GenBank genome assembly. Lineage: Eukaryota; Metazoa; Chordata; Lepidosauria; Squamata; Lacertidae.
GGGGCAGCUCAGUGGGAGAGCAUCUGCUUUGCAUGUAGAAGGUCCCAGGUUCAAUCCCCGAUAACACCU